GAUGCUUUAUUAUUAUUAUUUUUUGAGUUGGAGUCUCACUCUGUCGCCCAGACUAGAGUGCAGU
Carlito syrichta (Philippine tarsier) is the source of this 64-nucleotide small nucleolar RNA. The record is from Ensembl. Lineage: Eukaryota; Metazoa; Chordata; Mammalia; Primates; Tarsiidae.